CUAAACGCCUCAAUGCCGAUUAUUCAGGGCACAUUUCCAAAAAUGCAGAUUCAAUCCAGUGGAGUCAAUUUACGCACAUUCCAACUCAGAGGAGCGAGCGUGCCCUAACAGAUUCAAUCUAUUUUUAAGAGCAGAUUCAAUCCAGUUUUUUUUAGGAAUAACUGCCCUAACGGCACUCAAAUUAGGCCAUUUGGAAUGCCCGUUUAAAAAAACAGGCAGAUCGACGCCAUAUUACAUGACCGUUAAAAAAAGCAGAUCGACGCCCUAUUACAUGACCGUUGUAAAAAAGCAGGAUUUCACUUCUUUAUAUGGUCGGGUUUACUUGAGAAGUUGGACAGAUUGUAUUGUUCAUUUUAUUUUUUGGUUUAAUUUGCCUUCCGUUGUAUGUUUUUGGUGUGGUCAUGCCUUUUUUUGAGUUUUGCUUUCCUAAUUUUCGGUUUCAAUUUUUUUGUGAUCUUAGAUUUUGUAUUUGUAUUCAGACGUUUUCAUUUACUUUGUGUGUUUGAAUUGUAGUUUUCUUAGUAUUUUGUGUAUCUUCCAAUUUCCGUGGGUCGUCAUUUUUUAGUUGGUAGGCAGCAGCAAGGACUCUACGUUCUGGAGUGGCUGAUUGGAGAUAUUGCCAGGAAAUAGUAAAUUGAUUGGAGUGUUUGACUUGCACUGUUGGGGGAAAUGUUUGGAGGCUUGCUUGGGUAUCUGCUAAAGUCAAAUAAUGAAUGUAAUAUUUAAAAUUGAAGAAAAUGUUGUAUUUUUGAAUAUGUAAACAGAUUUGUUUUUUAAUGCCAAACUUUUAUUUGGGAGGGGUUAGAUUGACCCCCUUCCUUCCAAGACUGUGGAGAAUGGUCAUUGGCCACGACCAUUCUUUUCAGUCUAGUGUUAGUGUCUCUAUGUUAAUUUUUUAAUAUAUUUUUUAUUGCAUAAUUUUAAUGUUUUUUUAAUUUAA
Molecule: long non-coding RNA, 940 nt
Organism: Cryptomeria japonica (Japanese cedar)
Lineage: Eukaryota; Viridiplantae; Streptophyta; Pinopsida; Cupressales; Cupressaceae
Exons: 2
Source: RefSeq, a predicted model, not a curated record